AGCAGCCACUCAUUAAAAGAGUGCGUAAUAGCUCACUGGUCGAGUGACUCUGCGCCGAAAAUUUAACGGGGCUAAACUAUACACCGAAGCUUGGGAUACAUCUAAUGUAUGGUAGGAGAGCGUUCUGUAUGGGGAGAAGUCGUAGCGAAAGCGGCGGUGGACUAUACAGAAGUGAGAAUGCCGGAAUAAGUAGCGAGAAUUAAGUGAGAAUCUUAAUGGCCGAAAGUCUAAGGUUUUUGGAGGAAGGUUCGUCCGCUCCAAGUAAGUCGGGAGCUAAGGUCAGGCCGAAAGGCGUAGCCGAUGCACAUACGGUUGAUAUUCCGUAACCAUCUGUAAUUUAAGCAAAGGGACACUUCAAAAGGGUGUGACCCGGGCGUUGGUUGACCCGGGCGUAAGGGACCGAAAUUAGAGUAGGGAAGCACACUUAGCUGAAGGCGAGAAAAGCUUUGCGUAUAGAAACAGAUGCCCGUACCGCAAACCGACACAGGUGGACAGGAAGAGAAUUCUAAGGCCAGCGGGAGAAGGGUAGUUAAGGAACUCGGCAAAUUGACUCCGUAACUUCGGAAUAAGGAGUGCUCGAAAGAGCCGCAGAGAAUAGGCCCAGGCGACUGUUUAGCAAAAACACAGGUCUCUGCCAAAUCGAAAGAUGAAGUAUAGGGGCUGACACCUGCCCGGUGCCGGAAGGUUAAGAGGAGGAGUGAGAGCUCCGAAUUGAAGCCCCGGUAAACGGCGGCCGUAACUAUAACGGUCCUAAGGUAGCGAAAUUCCUUGUCGGGUAAGUUCCGACCCGCACGAAUGGUGUAACGAUCUGGGCACUGUCUCAACUACCCACCCGGCGAAAUUGUAGUACCGGUGAAGAUGCCGGUUACCUGCGGCAAGACGGAAAGACCCCAUGGAGCUUUACUGUAGCCUGAUAUUGGGUUUCGGAAAUCUAUGUACAGGAUAGGCGGGAGACUUGGAAACAUGAGCGUCAGCUUGUGUGGAGUCGAUGUUGGGAUACCGCCCUUAGGUUUCUGGAAUUCUAACCUGCGGCCGUGAAUCCGGUCGGGGGACAUUGUCAGGUGGGCAGUUUGACUGGGGCGGUCGCCUCCGAAAAGGUAACGGAGGCGCUCAAAGGUUAGCUCAGCACGGACGGAAACCGUGCCUCUGAGUGUAAACGCAAAAGCUAGCCUAACUGCGAGGGUGACGGCCCGAGCAGUAACGAAAGUUGGAGUUAGUGAUCCGGCGGUAUGUGAAUGGAAAUGCCGUCGCUCAACGGAUAAAAGCUACCCUGGGGAUAACAGGCUGAUCUCCCCCAAGAGUCCACAUCGACGGGGAGGUUUGGCACCUCGAUGUCGGCUCAUCACAUCCUGGGGCUGUAUUCGGUCCCAAGGGUUCGGCUGUUCGCCGAUUAAAGUGGUACGCGAGCUGGGUUCAGAACGUCGCGAGACAGUUCGGUCCCUAUCUGUCGUGGGCGCAGGAUAUUUGAGGAGCUCUGUCCUUAGUACGAGAGGACCGGGAUGGACGUACCUCUGGUGCACCAGUUGUCAUGCCAAUGGCACGGCUGGGCAGCUAUGUACGGAACGGAUAAACGCUGAAAGCAUCUAAGCGUGAAGCCGACUCCAAGAUUAGAUAUCCCAUCGUAUAACGAGUAAGACCCCUUGAAGACUACGAGGUUGAUAGGCUGCGUGUGUAAGUGCCGUGAGGCAUUCAGCUUGGCAGUACUAAUAGGUCGAGGGCUUGACCA
RNAcentral lists this ribosomal RNA (1726 nucleotides) under human gut metagenome. RNAcentral's name for it is "bacterial LSU rRNA". It matches the Rfam family "Bacterial large subunit ribosomal RNA", at positions 1111 to 2925 of the family's 2925-position model. The record is from RNAcentral.